Nerophis ophidion (straightnose pipefish) is the source of this 872-nucleotide long non-coding RNA. RefSeq lists it as uncharacterized. The record is from RefSeq and is a predicted model, not a curated record. Lineage: Eukaryota; Metazoa; Chordata; Actinopteri; Syngnathiformes; Syngnathidae. The transcript is spliced from 2 exons.
UCGGGACUGACGUGUUCCGCCUCUUCUAAUGACAUUUUUUUUUUCUUUCCACCUCCUUUUCUUUGCCGUGCGCACGGAGAAGCCCCCUGAAACGCACGCCACCUAUCUUCACGGGAGGGGAUAAUUGAGGGGAGCCAAACGUGAGCAUCUUCUGGCUUCAACUUCUUUUUUUUAUUUUUUUAUUUUUUUAAUUCCUCCCUCCCACCCCCAACACUCUCCUGGUGCCCCCUCCCUCCCCAUCUUGCUUUCUCCAUCCUCCUCUUUUGUACAGAGAAACAACAACUAUGUCCUCUCCGAGUGUGCGCAUGGAGUCUGUGUGUGUGUGUGUGUGUGUGUGUGUGUGUGUACAUGUGUGUGUGUGUGUGAACUUGAAGCGCGUCCACGCCAGCCGCAAUCACACAAAGAUGGAAUCUUGAAUAUGAUAAGACUUAUUUUCCUGCCUCGUUCGUGAUCAUUGUCAUUAUUAUUAAGAACCUCUGACCCAUUUACGUACCGGAAGGACCCAGGUAUAGUUGGAAUUGAACAAGUUGUGGGUAAGUUUCUAUUUUAGUCCGCUUUUCUGACAACACAGUCUUAAGGGGUCAUUUGCUCGUUGGGGUGUUUGCAUGUCAACGUUACGCACUCUCUCACACGCACUUGAACGCACCACGGCGGAGGAGCCAUUCAUCCAGGCGGCCGUGAAGUGGCCCCUCUCUGCUGCAGCUCUUGUGCGUGGGGCCGCAUAUUCACCGUGUAAACGGAUUAAGUGUGUUUUUGACCUUUAAGGGGGGGGGUUCUGUGUCAAAUGCAUACAUGUUGUUAAUUGAACAAGGCGUUGGUGUGUUAAUAUUUAUUCUGCAUGUACGAUUGAUAAUAAAAGUGUGAUGACAAGA